ACUGUAUAAUCAUAGCCGAUUAAUAAGCGCGUAUUUUUGUAAAUAUAUACCAUAUAAGGAUUAUCGAGUACCGACGGCAGUUUUACUUCGGCAUCAGAUCGAAGUGUGGCAUCGCUCGAGAUGACACGGAUCUGGCUUGUUGCAUGUUUGGUGCUUGUGGCGUAUCUUCAAGUAGCAUCUUGUGAUGGCGGUAAAUGUGUACAGCACUCCGAAUGUCCAGAGAAAAUGGCGUGCGACAGCGAAAGCUCCCAGUGUGUGGAUCCGUGCCUCACACAUCGAAAAUGUGUAACGGCGGCUACUUGUAUUGUCGAUGAUGAGCAUUUGGCCAAAUGCCGAUGCGAUCCAGGAACUAUAGGUAACCCCUACGAGAGUUGCAGCUCCUCCACAUACAAUAUACUUACUGAAGGACUCAGGGCUGGAUUUUAGGGGAGGGCAACCGGGGCUACAGCCCCGAGGUGUCCACAAAAGAGGGGCCCCCCACAAUAGAGACUAAUUUGGGGCCAGGGGGCCUCCACUCCUUUGUUGCCCCGAGGCCUCCAGACCUCUAAAUUCGGCAUUGAAAGGACUAGCAGGUUAGGUUAAUAUACUUGUUUGUGUUUACACAAUAGGUAUUUAGAUCACGGACGAGACGCCAUAUAUUGAAUAUACUGGGCAUAGAUAAAUAAGUAUUUCUCUAUGAUAUUGGGUGACUUUGGGGUCGUAAACUCGAAUGUCAAAAAUGUAUUAAGUACUACUGAACAAGUUUUCCCAUGGUACCAACAUGAAAAUCGGGAAAAAUAUACACUUACCUACCUCUACAUGGAUAGCAUGGUCGCGUUUUAAUCGUUUGUCACUAUAUGUAUAUCUACACACUUGUUAAAUCGUGACAGGCAUCGUGACAGACGAUAAAAAUCCCUAUUGCAUUUCAUUCACUUUGGGCCAUCAAGGUGUCCAUUAGAUUUUUUUGUGAUUUUAUUUUGUUGUUGUUGUGUCAGAUUUGUGGGUAGUCCCAUGGGGAAAUUUGUUUAGUAUGACCAUCUCAACACAUUUUUGAUAUUCAGUAGGAUCACUAUCCCAAAAUCACCUAGUAGAAUAGUUUUCAGUUGUAGCAGUCAAAUUUGUGCAACUCUCAACAUCUACAUAUCAGGGCUAGAAGGAAAGUGUGCGGAAAGAUAAUCAAUAGUCGUGGAAUGUAUGGGGCCUAAUACAUUCCACGACCCUUCUCUUUCCGAACAGACUUCUACGAGUACAACCAUGAAAAUCGAAGUUCAACAU
Long non-coding RNA from Cydia pomonella (codling moth), 1254 nucleotides. RefSeq lists it as uncharacterized. The record is from RefSeq and is a predicted model, not a curated record. The transcript has 4 exons. Lineage: Eukaryota; Metazoa; Arthropoda; Insecta; Lepidoptera; Tortricidae.